This 796-nucleotide ribosomal RNA is filed under the name uncultured archaeon. Its description in RNAcentral is "bacterial SSU rRNA". It matches the Rfam family "Archaeal small subunit ribosomal RNA", at positions 85 to 879 of the family's 1478-position model. The record is from RNAcentral.
ACGGCUCAGUAACACGUGGAUAACCUGCCCUUGGGUCCGGCAUAACCCCGGGAAACUGGGGAUAAUUCCGGAUAACGCACAUAUGCUGGAAUGCUUUUUGCGUAAAAUGGAUUCGUCUGCCCAAGGAUGGGUCUGCGGCCUAUCAGGUAGUAGUGGGUGUAAUGUACCUACUAGCCUACGACGGGUACGGGUUGUGAGAGCAAGAGCCCGGAGAUGGAUUCUGAGACAUGAAUCCAGGCCCUACGGGGCGCAGCAGGCGCGAAAACUUUACAAUGCGGGAAACCGUGAUAAGGGGACACCGAGUGCCAGCGUCAUACGCUGGCUGUCCAGGUGUGUAAAAUACACCUGUUAGCAAGGGCCGGGCAAGACCGGUGCCAGCCGCCGCGGUAACACCGGCGGCCCGAGUGGUGAUCGUGAUUAUUGGGUCUAAAGGGUCCGUAGCCGGUUUGGUCAGUCCUCCGGGAAAUCUGACAGCUCAACUGUUAGGCUUUCGGAGGAUACUGCCAGACUUGGAACCGGGAGAGGUAAGAGGUACUACAGGGGUAGGAGUGAAAUCUUGUAAUCCCUGUGGGACCACCUGUGGCGAAGGCGUCUUACCAGAACGGGUUCGACGGUGAGGGACGAAAGCUGGGGGCACGAACCGGAUUAGAUACCCGGGUAGUCCCAGCCGUAAACGAUGCUCGCUAGGUGUCAGGCAUGGCGCGACCGUGUCUGGUGCCGCAGGGAAGCCGUGAAGCGAGCCACCUGGGAAGUACGGCCGCAAGGCUGAAACUUAAAGGAAUUGGCGGGGGAGCAC